GUAAAUAUAGUUUAAGAAAAACGUUAGAUUGUGAAUCUAACAAUAUGAGCUCAAAUCUCCUUAUUUACC
RNAcentral lists this transfer RNA (69 nucleotides) under Neophoca cinerea (Australian sea lion). Its description in RNAcentral is "transfer RNA-His". It matches the Rfam family "tRNA". From Rfam's summary of the family: Transfer RNA (tRNA) molecules are approximately 80 nucleotides in length. Their secondary structure includes four short double-helical elements and three loops (D, anti-codon, and T loops). The record is from RNAcentral. Lineage: Eukaryota; Metazoa; Chordata; Mammalia; Carnivora; Otariidae.